RNAcentral lists this unclassified non-coding RNA (230 nucleotides) under plant metagenome. RNAcentral describes it as "partial contains small subunit ribosomal RNA, internal transcribed spacer 1, and 5.8S ribosomal RNA". The record is from RNAcentral.
UCUCCGUAGGUGAACCUGCGGAGGGAUCAUUACCGAGCUCAUGCCCUUACGGGUAGAUCUCCCACCCUGUGUUAUUAUUACCUUUGUUGCUUUGGCGGGCCGCCAGGCUCCGGUCAGGCUAUCGGCUUCGGCUGGUAAGCGCCCGCCAGAGGACCCUAUAUCCUGAUUAUUAGUGUCGUCUGAGUACUAUACAAUAGUUAAAACUUUCAACAACGGAUCUCUUGGUUCUG